AGCUAUAUUUGUCUGCCGUCGUGUCGUCACUUCAUUCAUUCUUCAUUGCAAGUUACCAGGAGGACUGACUGCUUCAGUGAACAACGAAUAUGUAUGCAUACCCCGUUUUGCGCAAAACUCCUCAGGGUCAACUCCUCAUGGGGCCGACUGAGGAGGCAAACAGGAGUGAGGUUGCGGGGGCAGGGAGAGCCAGAGCCAGGUGUAAGGAGGAGGUUCUGUCCGAGGCCACUGCCUUUGUGAGACAGAAUGGAGGGGAUCCUGGUGACCAGUUCCUGGUUCUGGCUCACUGCAGGAUCCAGUUUGGUAAACACCAGGGCCAGAGGUUCCGGUGGCUGCAGGAGAACUCACUGGGGUAUGCAGUGUAUCUGGCGUGCAGCAGUAUGGGGGAAGAGGAGAGGGACAACCCGCUGUCAGCCAGUAAGCAUCUGUUCCUCAGCUACACCUCUCGGAUCAGGGAGGUGGGGGAGGCUGUGGAGGUGUACCAGAAAAAACAGGCAAUGCGGCAGGAGGCCCAGAGGACGGGGGACACGGGACGUCUGAUGUUCGAGUUUGGUGUCUUCAAGGGCAGGUCCAUGAAGGAGGUGUAUGAAGACCCAAGCAAGGAGGGUCAGUCUUUCAUUUCCUACCUGAAGAAAGCAAAGGCCAGGCCCAACACCAACAUGGCCUUCUUCCAGGCAUACGUGCUGAAGAGAGAGGCUCCAGCUCAUGUCCCCACCACUGCUGCCUCUGCUCCGCCUGCUGCAACUCAAAGCAGGCAACACGUAGCUGCCUCUGUGAAGGGCCUGUUGGCUCGUGGGACACAUCUGUCUGCUUCACAGCUGGCAAAGAAGCUAAUGAGUCCAGCCAAACCCUCUGCAGAGCCACGUUGCCCCUCUCCGUCUCAGCGCGCAGCCCGAAGACGGCUCUUUACCUGUGAUAGUGCUGCUGGGGAUUUUUUUGACCAGGUAGAUGACCAGGAGAUGGUGGUAGCGGCCUCACAAGCAGAGGAACAACUUUCUCAAAAUAACUGGCACUUGGCAUGCGCCAGUCCCCAGUCAAAGAAAAAAUGAUAUUUAAAGGUGUAUGCACUGCUGCGCCAGUUCCAGCCCCAGCCCCUGCUCCUCCAGUGGUGUGGACUCCUGUGUCCCAGCCACCUGCAGAGCUGCAGAGACACUGGAAGGAGCAGCUUCCUUCAUUCCAGCAGGACUGGAUUAGGAAGGCUCUGUUCAGGGCCAACACAAAUACAGGGAAGCUGGAGUUGAUGCCCAAUCCUGUAUUCUGGUGGUAUCCCCCUCAGCCGCCGAAUGUCUUCACCCAGCCUCCUGCCUCUCCUGACGUCUUCUUCUGUCGCCCUCUGUUUCUCUGGAUGCCGCUGAAGAUGUGGUCCAUUCCACUCGUCUGUGUCCAGCCAGCCUGCAAUAACCACAGGCUGACAGCCGCUGGCCUUUAUCGCACUGUGAGCAAGGUCCUGGACAUAGAUGGGUGGUAUGACAUGGCCACGGAGUAUCUGGAGUGCAAAGGAUGCAAGAAGAAGUAACCGGCCUGGUCUGACGACAUCCUGGCACAGCUCGACAUGGGGCACCGUAGAAAAUUCCCCGCCAUUCUGACAUACAGGUACUCGUGUGAUCACAGUGUGGUCAUAAUGAUGCGGGAGCGGACCCAGGGCAACAGUGUCACGCAGCUUUACAGAAAGCUGCAAGAAGAGCACAGUGCAGCGUGGACACGGUGCACGCUGGAGUACCUCACUGCCUGCGAGCCCUUCGCCGACUCCUCCAUGACUGAGCCUCCAGUUUUCUCUGCACCCCCGCCACUCCCAGCCCUUCCAAAACCCAAGUGGCUGUUGUCUGUGUACGCCAGGGACGUCCUCUCACGGCUACCUGAGGUCAAAGCCAAGAUAACCUCAGUCUUUGGCUCUUUCCUCAAGAUGGACUCCACUAAAAAGGUUACCAAAAAACUGGCUGGAGCAGCUGCUAACUGCUGGCUGGUGCACCAACGUGGGCAAUGAACACGGCCAGAUUCUGGUGUCAGUGCUUACGGCCGCAGAAGGGCACGGACUGCGGCCCAUGGCAGCGGGUCUGGUGAGGAGGUACAGGGAAGCGGGAGUGGCACCACCCGCUAAGGUUAGGGAAGAAAUAAGCCAAUCACCGCAGAGCUUGUAGAAAGUGAGGUCACGAAAAGUAAACCAAUCAGCACAGAACUCGUGCGGAGGCGCAAAUCGCGGCCUGAGCUGGUGGAUAUAUUUCUCUGCCGUCGUGUCAUCGCUUCAUUCUUCAUUGCAAGUUAUCAGGACGACUGACUGCUUUAGUGAACAAAGAAUAUGUAUGCAUACAACUCCUCAUGGGCCCGACUGAGGAGGCAAACAGGAGUGAGGUUGCGGGGGAAGGGAGAGCCAGAGCCAGGUGUAAGGCCCUCUUCCAGGCAUACGUGCUGAAGAGACAGGCUCCAGCUCAUGUCCCCACCACUGCUGCCUCUGCUCCACCUGCUGCCACUCAGAGCAGGCAACCGCUGGCUGCCUCUGUGAAGGCCCUGUUGGCUCGUGGGACACAUCUGUCUGCUUCACAGCUGGCAAAGAAGCUAAUGAGUCCAGCCAAACCCUCUGCAGAGCCACGUUGCCCAUCUCCGUCUCAGCGCGCAGCCCGAAGACGGCUCUUUACCUGUGAUAGUGCUGCUGGGGAUUUUUUUGACGAGGUAGAUGACCAGGAGAUGGUGAUAGCGGCCUCACAAGCAGAGGAACAACUUUCUCAAAACUGAAGCCCAUUUUUGUCAUCGAGCAUGUUCCCCGCUGCCCCCGGAAUAAUUUGGAGGCACUGUUGCGCCAGUUCGAGCCCCUGCUCCUCCAGUGGUGCGGACUCCUGUGUCCCAGCCACCUGCAGAGCUGCCAAGACACUGGAAGGAGCAGCUUCCUUCAUUCCAGCAGGACUGGAUUAGGAAGGCUCUGUUCAGGGCCAACACAAAUACAGGAAAGCUGGAGCUGAUGCCAAAUCCCGUAUUCUGGUGGUAUCCCCCCCAGCCGCCAAAUGUCUUCACCAAGCCUCCUGCCUCUCCUGACGUGUUUUUCUGUCGCCCUCUGUUUCUCUGGAUGCCGCUGAAGAUGUGGUCCAUUCCACUCGUCUGUGUCCAGCCAGCCUGCAAUAACCACAGGCUGACAGCAGCUGGCCUUUAUCGCGCUGUGCGCAAGGUCCUGGACUUAGAUGGGUGGUAUGACAUGGCCACGGAGUAUCUGUAGUGCAAAGGAUGCAAGAAGAAAUACCUGGCCUGGUCUGACGACAUCCUGGCACACCUCGACAUGGGGCACCGCAGAAAAUUCCCCGCCAUUCUGACAUACAGGUACUGGUGUGAUCACCGUGUGGUCAUAAUGAUGCGGGAGCGGACCCAGGGCAACAGUGUCACGCAGCUUUACAGAAAGCUGCAAGAAGAGCACAGUGUAGCGUGGACACAGUGCACGCUGGAGUAACUCACUGCCUGCGAGCCCUUCACCGACUCCUCCAUGACUGAGCCUCCAGUUUUCUCUGCACUCUGCCACUCCCACAUCUUCCAAAAUUCAAGUGGCUUUUGUCUGUGUAUGCCAGGGACGUCCUCUCACGGCUACCUGAGGUCAAAGCCAAGGUAACCUCCGUCU
This is an RNA transcript of Corythoichthys intestinalis (scribbled pipefish), 3598 nucleotides long. RefSeq lists it as uncharacterized. The record is from RefSeq and is a predicted model, not a curated record. Lineage: Eukaryota; Metazoa; Chordata; Actinopteri; Syngnathiformes; Syngnathidae. The transcript is spliced from 14 exons.